GACAGAGGGUGCAAACGUUGCUCGGAAUCACUGGGCGUAAAGCGCACGUAGGCGGACUUUUAAGUCGGAGGUGAAAUCCUGGAGCUCAACUCCAGAACUGCCUUCGAUACUGAGAGUCUUCGAGUUCGGGAGAGGUGAGUGGAACUGCGAGUGUAGAGGUGAAAUUCGUAGAUAUUCGCAAGAACACCAGUGGCGAAGGCGGCUCACUGGCCCGAUACUGACGCUGAGGUGCGAAAGCGUGGGGAGCAAACAGG
Molecule: ribosomal RNA, 254 nt
Filed under: uncultured prokaryote
Description: partial 16S ribosomal RNA
Rfam family: Bacterial small subunit ribosomal RNA
Source: RNAcentral